Molecule: ribosomal RNA, 382 nt
Filed under: Klebsiella pneumoniae
Lineage: Bacteria; Pseudomonadati; Pseudomonadota; Gammaproteobacteria; Enterobacterales; Enterobacteriaceae
Description: bacterial SSU rRNA
Rfam family: Bacterial small subunit ribosomal RNA
Source: RNAcentral
CCUGGGGAGUACGGCCGCAAGGUUAAAACUCAAAUGAAUUGACGGGGGCCCGCACAAGCGGUGGAGCAUGUGGUUUAAUUCGAUGCAACGCGAAGAACCUUACCUGGUCUUGACAUCCACAGAACUUUCCAGAGAUGGAUUGGUGCCUUCGGGAACUGUGAGACAGGUGCUGCAUGGCUGUCGUCAGCUCGUGUUGUGAAAUGUUGGGUUAAGUCCCGCAACGAGCGCAACCCUUAUCCUUUGUUGCCAGCGGUCCGGCCGGGAACUCAAAGGAGACUGCCAGUGAUAAACUGGAGGAAGGUGGGGAUGACGUCAAGUCAUCAUGGCCCUUACGACCAGGGCUACACACGUGCUACAAUGGCAUAUACAAAGAGAAGCGACC